GCGGCGGUAGCUCAGUUGGCAGAGCAUCGGUUUUCCAGUCCGAAGGUCGCCGGUUCGACCCCGGUCCGCCGCUCCA
RNAcentral lists this transfer RNA (76 nucleotides) under Szabonella alba. RNAcentral describes it as "tRNA-Gly". It matches the Rfam family "tRNA". From Rfam's summary of the family: Transfer RNA (tRNA) molecules are approximately 80 nucleotides in length. The record is from RNAcentral. Lineage: Bacteria; Pseudomonadati; Pseudomonadota; Alphaproteobacteria; Rhodobacterales; Paracoccaceae.